This 253-nucleotide ribosomal RNA is filed under the name uncultured bacterium. Its description in RNAcentral is "partial 16S ribosomal RNA". It matches the Rfam family "Bacterial small subunit ribosomal RNA", at positions 524 to 776 of the family's 1533-position model. The record is from RNAcentral.
UACGUAGGGUGCAAGCGUUGUCCGGAAUUAUUGGGCGUAAAGAGCUCGUAGGCGGUUCGUCGCGUCGGCUGUGAAAUCCCGAGGCUCAACCUCGGGUCUGCAGUCAAUACGGGCGGACUGGAGUACUGCAGGGGAGACUGGAAUUCCUGGUGUAGCGGUGAAAUGCGCAGAUAUCAGGAGGAACACCGGUGGCGAAGGCGGGUCUCUGGGCAGUUACUGACGCUGAGGAGCGAAAGCGUGGGGAGCGAACAGG